CCUACGGGAGGCAGCAGUGGGGAAUUUUGGACAAUGGGCGCAAGCCUGAUCCAGCAAUGCCGCGUGAGUGAAGAAGGCCUUCGGGUUGUAAAGCUCUUUUGUCAGGGAAGAAACGGUGGGGGCUAAUAUCCCCUGCUAAUGACGGUACCUGAAGAAUAAGCACCGGCUAACUACGUGCCAGCAGCCGCGGUAAUACGUAGGGUGCAAGCGUUAAUCGGAAUUACUGGGCGUAAAGCGUGCGCAGGCGGUUUUGUAAGUUUGUCGUGAAAUCCCCGGGCUCAACCUGGGAAUGGCGAUGAAGACUGCAAGGCUAGAAUCUGGCAGAGGGGGGUAGAAUUCCACGUGUAGCAGUGAAAUGCGUAGAGAUGUGGAGGAACACCGAUGGCGAAGGCAGCCCCCUGGGUCAAGAUUGACGCUCAUGCACGAAAGCGUGGGGAGCAAACAGGAUUAGAUACCCUGGUAGUCCACGCCCUAAACGAUGUCUACUAGUUGUCGGGUUUUAAUUAACUUGGUAACGCAGCUAACGCGUGAAGUAGACCGCCUGGGGAGUACGGUCGCAAGAUUAAAAACUCAAAGGAAUUGACGG
Molecule: ribosomal RNA, 586 nt
Filed under: uncultured bacterium
Lineage: Bacteria
Description: bacterial SSU rRNA
Rfam family: Bacterial small subunit ribosomal RNA
Source: RNAcentral